CAGGGUAUAUCCUCAGGCUACGAGGAUCAUCCAGUGCGAAUGGCACUGGUCGUGUGGAAAUAUUACACAAUGGACAAUGGGGAACAGUUUGUGAUGAUAAUUGGGAUACAAAUGAUGCUGCGGUUGCAUGUCGUCAACUUGGAUAUCAAAAUGCUGUUAGAGCUCUUCAAGGUGGUCAGGUUCCUCGUGGUUCCGGACAGAUAUGGUUAGACGAGGUCGCUUGUAGUGGUAGAGAACAAAAUUUGAGCAGUUGUUCUCAUAAGGGAUGGGGA
Molecule: non-coding RNA, 272 nt
Organism: Paramuricea clavata
Lineage: Eukaryota; Metazoa; Cnidaria; Anthozoa; Malacalcyonacea; Plexauridae
Source: the annotation of a GenBank genome assembly